Molecule: non-coding RNA, 75 nt
Organism: Streptomyces sp.
Lineage: Bacteria; Bacillati; Actinomycetota; Actinomycetes; Kitasatosporales; Streptomycetaceae
Rfam family: ASpks TB sRNA
Source: Rfam
CUUCACCGACCCCAGCCACAACGGCCGCCCCUCCACCCGCCCUUGACCAUAAGUGGCCAACAACGCCUGCGCCUC